UGUAAACCAAAAAUGUACAGCAUCAAGAUAUUAUAUUCGCGGUGACUUUAGAUUUGAGGGAGUUGCAAGACCGAGUCAUGCUUCCUUGCGUGCUACUUCAAUUUUGCAGCAUAUUGAUCAAAGAACAGCUGAUGUUUAUCUGGAAAGGUCGUCUUUCACAGUCAGAUUAAAUCCAAUCCAGGAGAACACAGAGACCCCCGAUUAAGAACUCCAGAAACCAAACUUUAAUUCUCGGACGGUCCGUAUCCAAUUCACAGCUGCGCAGACGAGCGUUUUGCUGGUUCGGCGGAUUCUCCGGGACAGCGUAGCAGCAGCGCUCUUCGCUUAAGAUAGACACAACAUUCGUGGAAGGCACACUGAAGAGCGUCUGAGAAUUUACACCCAUUCCCACCUGUUAAGAGGACAAGGUCGCGGGCGGGCCAGGGCCGAUCCUGGCAAGCACUGGGUGAGAGGAUGCCAGUCCAUCACAGGGCACACACUGACACCCGUUACACCAGAGACCAUUUUCCCAGGAGCCUAUUCACCUGCCAGGGAGGAAA
Lepisosteus oculatus (spotted gar) is the source of this 539-nucleotide long non-coding RNA. RefSeq lists it as uncharacterized. Lineage: Eukaryota; Metazoa; Chordata; Actinopteri; Semionotiformes; Lepisosteidae. The record is from RefSeq and is a predicted model, not a curated record.